This 442-nucleotide ribosomal RNA is filed under the name uncultured bacterium. Its description in RNAcentral is "partial 16S ribosomal RNA". It matches the Rfam family "Bacterial small subunit ribosomal RNA", at positions 338 to 795 of the family's 1533-position model. The record is from RNAcentral.
CCUACGGGAGGCUGCAGUGGGGAAUAUUGGGCAAUGGGCGCAAGCCUGACCCAGCAACGCCGCGUGAAGGAAGAAGGCUUUCGGGUUGUAAACUUCUUUUGUCAGGGAAGAGGAGAAGACGGUACCUGACGAAUAAGCCACGGCUAACUACGUGCCAGCAGCCGCGGUAAUACGUAGGUGGCAAGCGUUGUCCGGAUUUACUGGGUUUAAAGGGCGUGUAGCCGGGUUGACAAGUCAGAUGUGAAAUCCUGCGGCGUAACCGCAGAACUGCAUUUGAAACUGUUGAUCUUGAGUACUGGAGAGGCAGCCGGAAUUCCUAGUGUAGCGGUGACAUGCGUAGAUAUUAGGAGGAACCCCAGUGGCGAAGGCGGUCUGCUGGACAGCACCUGACGGUGAGGCGCGAAAGCGUGGGGAGCAAACAGGAUUAGAUACCCCUGUAGUC